AGAUUGAACGCUGGCGGCAGGCCUAACACAUGCAAGUCGAGCGGCAGCACGGGUACUUGUACCUGGUGGCGAGCGGCGGACGGGUGAGUAAUGCCUAGGAAUCUGCCUGAUAGUGGGGGAUAACGUUCGGAAACGGACGCUAAUACCGCAUACGUCCUACGGGAGAAAGUGGGGGAUCUUCGGACCUCACGCUAUCAGAUGAGCCUAGGUCGGAUUAGCUAGUUGGUAGGGUAAAGGCCUACCAAGGCUACGAUCCGUAACUGGUCUGAGAGGAUGAUCAGUCACACUGGAACUGAGACACGGUCCAGACUCCUACGGAGGCAGCAGUGGGGAAUAUUGGACAAUGGGCGAAAGCCUGACUCCAGCCA
This 368-nucleotide ribosomal RNA is filed under the name uncultured soil bacterium. Its description in RNAcentral is "bacterial SSU rRNA". It matches the Rfam family "Bacterial small subunit ribosomal RNA", at positions 26 to 394 of the family's 1533-position model. The record is from RNAcentral.